UAGGGAGCAACUACAACUACAAGCAUUUACAGUUUAGUUCAGAAAAACUGCAACCACGCAGCAGAGGGAAGGAUAAAUUAAAAAUGUCUAUAGUUUUUGCUCCUGAAGUUCUCAGCGUACCAAAUGGAUUUCAUCGUUUGCUGCAUGACAUAGGAAAAGAGGUUCUGCAAUCACAAGCAGAUACCAGCCAAGACAUUUGUGUAGUGGCAGCAAGAUUAUUAAGGGAACAGAUACUUCUCAGAGAACAUAAUGGUAGAGACCCCUACACAGGAGAACCGUACGUGUCAGACGACCCUGACGGAACCGCUGCAGAGGAAGGGUCUUGAAAUCAUUCCAGCUUUGGGGGAAAUUGUUGUUUUAAACGUUUUUGAAGACUUACUUGAUUCAAUUGUCAAUGGUUAAUAAUAAUAUAUUAAUAUAUUAAAGCACAAAUAAAG
Molecule: long non-coding RNA, 437 nt
Organism: Bolinopsis microptera
Lineage: Eukaryota; Metazoa; Ctenophora; Tentaculata; Lobata; Bolinopsidae
Exons: 3
Source: RefSeq, a predicted model, not a curated record